Molecule: ribosomal RNA, 263 nt
Filed under: uncultured bacterium
Lineage: Bacteria
Description: partial 16S ribosomal RNA
Rfam family: Bacterial small subunit ribosomal RNA
Source: RNAcentral
ACCUACGGGGGGCAGCAGUAGGGAAUCUUCCACAAUGGACGAAAGUCUGAUGGAGCAACGCCGCGUGAGUGAAGAAGGGUUUCGGCUCGUAAAGCUCUGUUGGUAGGGAAGAAAGGGAGAGGUAGUAACUGGCCUUUAUUUGACGGUAAUUACUUAGAAAGUCACGGCUAACUACGUGCCAGCAGCCGCGGUAAUACGUAGGGGGCAAGCGUUGUCCGGAUUUAUUGGGCGUAAAGCGAGUGCAGGCGGUUGCAUAAGGCUGA